AGCCGCCGCGGUAAUACCGGCGGCUCGAGUGGUGGUCCACUUUAUUGGGCUUAAAGCGUUCGUAGCUGGGUCGUUAAGUCUCUUGGGAAAUCCGGCAGCUUAACUGUCGGGCGUCUAAGAGAUACUGGCGAUCUUGGAACCGGGAGAGGUGAGGGGGUACUUCGGGGGUAGGAGUGAAAUCCUGUAAUCCUCGAGGGACCACCUGUGGCGAAGGCGCCUCACCAGAACGGCUUCGACAGUGAGGGACGAAAGCUGGGGGAGCAAACCGGAUUAGGUACCCGGGUAGUCCCAGCCGUAAACGAUGUGCGUUAGGUGUAUCGACGACCACGAGUCGUCGAGGUGCCGAAGGAAACCGUGAAACGUACCGCCUGGGAAGUACGGUCGCAAGGCUGAAACUUAAAGGAAUUGGCGGGGGAGCACCACAACAGGUGGAGCCUGCGGUUUUAAAUUGGACUCAACGCCGGGAAGCUCACCGGAUAAGACAGCUGAAUGAUUGCCGGGCUGAAGACUCUGCAUGACUAGCUGAGAAGAGGUGCAUGG
Molecule: ribosomal RNA, 540 nt
Filed under: uncultured archaeon
Lineage: Archaea
Description: bacterial SSU rRNA
Rfam family: Archaeal small subunit ribosomal RNA
Source: RNAcentral